AAUAAACCCAUGUCAUCAAUACUGGAGUUCUUGUGGCCACCAGAAGACAACGGGAAUGUUCAGGGUUUGACGUGCUGUGGGGAAACAGUGUUCAUUCCUGUUACAUCGGCUUAGCAGAGGUCAUGGCCGGAGUUUUUUCCAGUUUCAGACAUGGCCUGAUACAGGCACCAAGAAUGCCCUUUUAGGGUAAGUAAAAAGAUUGGUAUGUGUGGUGUGCAAAUUUUUGCUAAUCAGAGUUGAACAGAACUGACUACUGGAAAUAGAGUUUGAAAAUGGGCCACAGCACUAUACAAUUCAAAACUUUAUGUUACAUCUAAAUAGCAUUAUCGUCAUAAGGCUAACUUUGUGUGUUUACACAUAGUUGUGUGUGCUUUCCAGUGUUUGACCAAAUGUAGACAGAAGUGGGGCAGCAGGUCUUCUGUUAGAAUGUGUAUUUAUUACUCCCUCAGAGCAAUUCAGCAGUGUUUUUUACUCCCGUUGCAUUCCAGUCUCUUAUUCACGUCAGCUGUGGGAGGUUGAUGUGAAUAUAUUGUAAGCCUUCUCCUUCUUCUUCUGUGCACCUAAAAGUGUGCCAAAAGAUGAUGAAUACUCGUCUGUAUAUUCUCACACGUGUUCCCGUCCAACUGUAUCCAGGCAACGGCUCAUAAUAUUGAUGAGCGUAUUUGAUCAGAGGCAUAUUGAUGGAUCUCAAGCCACAUACCAGAUGAUGUCGUUCACCUUUUUUUUUUUUUAACAUUUAUUUAUAGGUUGGUAUAUCGUAAAUUUGGUAGAAAUACAGUCCUUUCUGAAUGCACCUGCAUGCAUUCAGGUGUUAUUUUCUUUUACUUCCACUUCCUUGUCCUGUCCAUCUACUUCUUAUUGCUAUAAGAGUUGAGCUGUAACUGCAUGUCUGCAUGUAUAAUCCUUGUAUGUGUUUUUUCGUGAUGAGAAGAGUGUCUACCACACUGUUUCCUGUCAUAACUUCCCCCUGUAGUUUCCAUGUUUUGUACCAGACAGCAAGUCUUUUAAUAUGUCUUUGA
Long non-coding RNA from Astatotilapia calliptera (eastern happy), 1019 nucleotides. Lineage: Eukaryota; Metazoa; Chordata; Actinopteri; Cichliformes; Cichlidae. The record is from Ensembl.